Molecule: ribosomal RNA, 429 nt
Filed under: Acidobacteriota bacterium
Lineage: Bacteria; Pseudomonadati; Acidobacteriota
Description: Acidobacteria bacterium partial 16S ribosomal RNA
Rfam family: Bacterial small subunit ribosomal RNA
Source: RNAcentral
UGGGGAAUUUUGGACAAUGGGGGAAACCCUGAUCCAGCCAUCCCGCGUGUGCGAUGAAGGCCUUCGGGUUGUAAAGCACUUUUGGCAGGAAAGAAACGUCAUGGGUUAAUACCCCGUGAAACUGACGGUACCUGCAGAAUAAGCACCGGCUAACUACGUGCCAGCAGCCGCGGUAAUACGUAGGGUGCAAGCGUUAAUCGGAAUUACUGGGCGUAAAGCGUGCGCAGGCGGUUCGGAAAGAAAGAUGUGAAAUCCCAGAGCUCAACUUUGGAACUGCAUUUUUAACUACCGGGCUAGAGUGUGUCAGAGAGAGGUGGAAUUCCGCGUGUAGCAGUGAAAUGCGUAGAUAUGCGGGGGAACACCGAUGGCGAAGGCAGCCUCCUGGGAUAACACUGACGCUCAUGCACGAAAGCGUGGGGAGCAAACAGG